ACCGUUGUGGUCUAGUGGUUAGGAUUUACGGCUCUCACAAGUAAGGCCCGAGUUCGAUUCCCGGCAACGGAA
This 72-nucleotide transfer RNA is filed under the name Angiostrongylus costaricensis. It matches the Rfam family "tRNA". Rfam says of the family: Transfer RNA (tRNA) molecules are approximately 80 nucleotides in length. Their secondary structure includes four short double-helical elements and three loops (D, anti-codon, and T loops). Lineage: Eukaryota; Metazoa; Nematoda; Chromadorea; Rhabditida; Metastrongylidae. The record is from Rfam by way of RNAcentral.